UCAGUGAGGCCUUGGGACUGGCUCAGGAGGGUUGGCAACGACCCCCCAGAGCCGGAAACUUGGUCAAACUCGGUCAUUUAGAGGAAGUAAAAGUCGUAACAAGGUUUCCGUAGGUGAACCUGCGGAAGGAUCAUUA
RNAcentral lists this ribosomal RNA (136 nucleotides) under Penicillium decumbens. Its description in RNAcentral is "partial 18S ribosomal RNA". It matches the Rfam family "Eukaryotic small subunit ribosomal RNA", at positions 1698 to 1831 of the family's 1831-position model. The record is from RNAcentral. RNAcentral also lists the same sequence under 4 other names. Lineage: Eukaryota; Fungi; Ascomycota; Eurotiomycetes; Eurotiales; Aspergillaceae.